GCCAAUCAGAAAGCAUUAUUAUGCUACGUCAUACCAAGUUUUAAGUCAACUAAUAUAAAAUCGGGCCAGGCGUUUGGGCCAUUAAUAAUAUCCACUGCCAAUAUGAAGCCCACCUCAGCAAUACCAAAUCUCCAAUGAAAGUUAUUAAUUUAUUAUCGUGGCUGACUCUUCUUCUUCUUAGCUGUGUGAACGCUCACGGUCUAGCUCCUCCUCUCAAUUGAUGAUUUUGAGAAACGUCUGCAAUUAUGACAUUCAAGGAGAGGGAUCGCCGUCGAUAGUAUCAACGGUGGAGAGAACGAAGACGAACCGGAGAAGAAAAGUGAAGAAGAGCAGAGAGUAAAACAUCAUCUGAUACGAGAAUCUUCUAGAACCCACCUUCUUUUUUAUGAAUUCUCUCAAUCCUUUCCCCGUGACCACCGUCACAUGUCUUAAGCUCGGAGAUAUAUGCAGCUGCAUCUCUCUGUUUAUGUCUUUGUUUUCCUCUUUCUUCUCUUAUCUGAAUGUGGGUUUCUUUGAAAGGAGAUGGAUGUCCGAAGAGGAAAUAUUGAUCUUACGUUGUUAUGUAUUGUUUGAUUAUUCAAAAGGGUCUAUGUCAUUCACCUAACCUUGCUUUGUGUUUAGGUUACUAAUGGCAGAUCGUAUCUGAUUUCCCGUUGUUCAUUUUGUCUCAGGUGAUUUGGCAAGGAAGAGCCCAAGACUCACGGUUAACAGAUGAGAGCUAAGAAACAGAGGAUGUCGACCAUUGACACCAGAAGAGAUUGAGUCAUUCCUUUUACCUCAAGGUUUCUCCUAGAUAUGUCACAUUAUACUUUACCGGAUCUUUUGCUCUCGAUGCAACAAUAGUAGUUGGUGGCCUUCCCAGGAUUUGGGUGUUGUAGGGUCUUGAAGAAAACAACACGGGCUGAAGCAUUAAGCAUAGAAACAAGGGGGACCUGUGUGUUUGUACAUGCUGAGCAUUCUAUUGACUCGCCACUUGCUAGGGUGAUCUGUAUAAACACAGAAAAUAUACUUCUAUCACAGCCUAAUUGGCGCGAACAAGCCCUUAGUCGUGCGGAUACUUCAAUCCGAAGUGGUUCGGUUGGUGUUAUUGUUGCUGACAGUGUAAUUUAGGAGCACUUGAGUAUAAGAUGGGUGAUGCUCAUAUGAUUAUCCAAGCCGCUACGUGUCUUGAACUUCAAAGCAUGGUAGUAUUGAAAAGAAAAGGCUCGCCAAGGUAAUAAAGAAAACAGUAAAAACUCGAGGAAGAGACGUCACUAACCAAUCUCAGAGUCAGUACGUUAGAGCAGAUACCAGAUUAUGAAAGAGUGUUUUGUGGAGAAGAUAGCUGGAGUCAUUGUAGAAUUUGUAAUCAGCGGAUGAUAACACAUUGUGGUCUGGUUUAAAAGAAGCUAAAUGAGAAACUAUCUAUACCAAAGUUAUAUUAUUUUCUUGGAAAUGAAGUGUGUGAACCUUCGAACAGGCAUGGAGAUUCUGCAGAUGAGGAGAGUAAGAGGAACUCUGCAAGUGAUGGGCCAGCGAAAGCUAAGAGCCCAAGAUGUGAGAAGUAGAGCUCCCAUUCAUCUUCUCACUUAUUGCAUGCUUCAAUGAUGUUUAAGUCUUUUUUUCAGUUUAAGUAUUGACUUAUGAUUUCCUUUCAGUUUUUGCUUUUCAGUGUUUUUUUUCCUUGAAACAUUUUAUCUACUUUGCAUGAUUAGCAGCUAAAAAUCAUGUUUACAGUUUUAUCA
Long non-coding RNA from Brassica rapa (field mustard), 1724 nucleotides. RefSeq lists it as uncharacterized. NCBI's taxonomy places the organism in Eukaryota, Viridiplantae, Streptophyta, Magnoliopsida, Brassicales, Brassicaceae. The record is from RefSeq and is a predicted model, not a curated record.